GCAGGCGUGCAGCUGCUGGUGCAGGGCACCUGCCCCGCCCCUCAGAGGGUGAAGGGAUCCCCGCGCUGCUCCCCAGCGCCGCCGGCCCUCAGAGCCAAAGUGAAGCGAACUAGAGCUCUCGUGCAGCUUUUCACACUUCUCUGUCAGCUGCAAUACCUGACAGGAUAACUAAUGGACAAAAGACAUGAAACACUCAUUCAGCUCAGCUGCAAGUAAUUCCUGCAAACCGUGUACAUACAGGAAUAAAGAGGCUCGUUGGAUCUCACGUAAGGAGAAAUUACAUGACUGAGGAUUAAAGAUGCAAACCCCUUUAAAUACAUUGACUAAUAGUCAACACUGAAACUGGAUCAGGAGUAUUUUUUGCAUAUCUUGACUACAAUAUAUGCUUCUAGGCAAAUUUUAUCUGAAGUUAAAACCACAUCUGGAUGUAAUUUUAUUUUCAUCCUCUAAUACUUUCACUAUGUUCCACAAGGUGCCAUUAAUGGCAUUAACAUUUUAAGCUUGCCCAGCACUAGGUAUUUCAGCUAUUGCCAAUGAGGUCUUCCAGCAACAAGUUUUCCUAGCAUGGAUGGAUUUUAAUGUGACCUGGGAAGUUUGUAGCUUUUUUAAAUCCCCUUGUGGGGUUUUGCAUCUUCAGAGAUUCUGCUGAAAGAGACUCUUCAAUCAGAAACAUGAGGCAAACUCUUCAGUGCCAGACAUAUCCCCCUGCAGUUAUUCAAAUUAACGUAACACUGCUAUUUUACUAGUUGUCCUUGAGAAGAUUGUUUACUAGUUGUUUCUAAUAAAGUAGUUAGGCAAAACUCAUGAUUUCUGUCACUGAAAUUUUAAUUAACAAUACAAAACUUACAUAUGCCUUUAAAAAGGACAAAAACAUGGGAGGGAAUGUUCUUUCAGAUGUCAUCUUAGGAAGGAAGAAAAAGAAACUAAAGAAAUGGGAAAAUAGAAAAGGGAGGAAAAUGCAUGCAAAUUUUAGAUUUUCCUAUGUGACUUCA
This is a non-coding RNA of Cyanistes caeruleus (blue tit), 992 nucleotides long. NCBI's taxonomy places the organism in Eukaryota, Metazoa, Chordata, Aves, Passeriformes, Paridae. The record is from RefSeq and is a predicted model, not a curated record.